GCCGGUCCAAUACGUUGUUGUAUCGCUGCGGAUAUCUCUCUUUCUAACCAUACAAUGGUUGGUACACUUAUUGUGAUUCCCAAUACAAGAGUGAAAAUAGGGGUAAGUACCCAUAGAGUUCCAUAGACCUCUUUUAACGAUUCUAAUUUGGAAAAAGAAUUGAUAUAUUGCAAUUUUGUUGUAUCAAUUAUCAUUUCAACUAUCAACAUCCCCCGUAAUGAUAUCUAUGCUACCAAGUAUUGUCAUAAUAUCAGCCAAUUUCAUUCUUUUAACUAAUUGAGGAAGAAUUUGCAAAUUGAUAAAACCGGGUGGACGAAUUUUCCAUCUCCAAGGAAAACCAUUCUGAUCACCCAUUAAAAAAAUUCCUAAUUCUCCCUUUGGCGCUUCAAUUCUUACGUACAGUUCUUGUUUUGGCAAUUCAAAAGUGGGAGAUGGUUUUUUACUAAUGAAUCUAUAUUCAAAAUCAUUCCAUUCUGGCUCUUUUUCUCUAUCAAAGUAGCGGGUUUCUAAAUUCUCAUAUGGACCGCCGGGAAUUCCUUCCAAAGCCUGUUGAAUAAUUUUUAUGGAUUCGAUCAUUUCACCAAUUCUAACUAAAUAACGAGCUAAUGAAUCUCCCUCUUUUUGCCAUUGAACUUCCCAAUCAAAUUCCCCGUAACACUCAUAAUUAUCAACUUUACGCAAAUCCCAUUGUAUUCCGGAAGCCCGAAGCAUCGGUCCCGAUAAACCCCAAUUUAUUACUUCCUCUCCACAAACAAUGCCUACUCCCUCAACUCGUUCUAAAAAAAUAGGAUUUCGCGUAAUAAGUUGUUGAUAUUCAACAACCCUUGUUAAAAAAUAAUCGCAAAAAUCCAAACAUUUAUCUAUCCAACCAUGAGGUAGAUCAGCCGCUACCCCUCCGAUACGGAAAAAAUUAUGCAUCAUUCUCAUACCUGUCGCAGCUUUCUACAAUUCUUGUUUUGGCAAUUCAAAAGUGGGAGAUGGUUUUUUACUAAUGAAUCUAUAUUCAAAAUCAUUCCAUUCUGGCUCUUUUUCUCUGUCAAAGUAGCAGGUUUCUAAAUUCUCAUAUGGAUCGUCGGGAAUUCCUUCCAAAGUCUGUUGAAUAAUUUUUAUGGAUUCGAUCAUUUCACCAAUUCUAACUAAAUAACGAGCUAAUGAAUCUCCCUCUUUUUGCCAUUGAACUUCCCAAUCAAAUUCCCCGUAACACUCAUAAUUAUCAACUUUACGCAAAUCCCAUUGUAUUCCGGAAGCCCGAAGCAUCGGUCCCGAUAAACCCCAAUUUAUUACUUCCUCUCCACAAACAAUG
This 1303-nucleotide long non-coding RNA is filed under the name Lupinus angustifolius (narrow-leaved blue lupine). Its description in RNAcentral is "long non-coding RNA (LANG_LNC001306)". The record is from RNAcentral. Lineage: Eukaryota; Viridiplantae; Streptophyta; Magnoliopsida; Fabales; Fabaceae.